AUAUUAAUUCCUUGUAUGCUUGGUGAUCUUUGUGAGAUGAGUUAUAUACCCGAACUCGAGUGCACUUAGGAUAGGAGAAUGGCAUAGUCUUGUUGACUUGUGUGGAGUUAUUUCUUAGAAAGUUGACUUGCAAGCCCAUUCACUUGGUGGAGGUCAUGUUGGGAUCAAUAAUGUCACACAAGUAGUUGUGGUUAGACAUUACUCUUUCCAAUAUAGACCUUAGAAGCCAAGGACC
RNAcentral lists this long non-coding RNA (235 nucleotides) under Lathyrus oleraceus (garden pea). Its description in RNAcentral is "Pisum sativum (pea) long non-coding RNA (PSAT_LNC021862)". The record is from RNAcentral. Lineage: Eukaryota; Viridiplantae; Streptophyta; Magnoliopsida; Fabales; Fabaceae.